GACGAACGCUGGCGGCGUGCUUAACACAUGCAAGUCGAGCGGUAAGGCCCUUUCGGGGGUACACGAGCGGCGAACGGGUGAGUAACACGUGGGUGACCUGCCCUCAGCUCUGGGAUAAGCCUGGGAAACUGGGUCUAAUACUGGAUAUGACUCCACGGUGCAUGUCGUGGGGUGGAAAGCCUUGUGCGGCUGAGGAUGGGCCCGCGGCCUAUCAGCUUGCUGGUGGGGUGAUGGCCUACCAAGGCGACGACGGGUAGCCGGCCUGAGAGGGCGACCGGCCACACUGGGACUGAGACACGGCCCAGACUCCUACGGGAGGCAGCAGUGGGGAAUCUUGCGCAAUGGGCGAAAGCCUGACGCAGCGACGCCGUGUGAGGGAUGACGGCCU
RNAcentral lists this ribosomal RNA (388 nucleotides) under uncultured bacterium. RNAcentral describes it as "bacterial SSU rRNA". It matches the Rfam family "Bacterial small subunit ribosomal RNA", at positions 28 to 417 of the family's 1533-position model. The record is from RNAcentral.